RNAcentral lists this ribosomal RNA (440 nucleotides) under uncultured bacterium. Its description in RNAcentral is "partial 16S ribosomal RNA". It matches the Rfam family "Bacterial small subunit ribosomal RNA", at positions 338 to 795 of the family's 1533-position model. The record is from RNAcentral.
CCUACGGGUGGCAGCAGUGGGGAAUAUUGCACAAUGGGGGAAACCCUGAUGCAGCGACGCCGCGUGGGUGAAGGAGUAUUUCGGUAUGUAAAGCCCUAUCAGCAGGGAAGAUAAUGACGGUACCUGACUAAGAAGCCCCGGCUAACUACGUGCCAGCAGCCGCGGUAAUACGUAGGGGGCAAGCGUUAUCCGGAUUUACUGGGUGUAAAGGGAGCGUAGACGGCAGCGCAAGCCUGGAGUGAAAGGAUGGGGCCCAACCCCAUGACUGCUCUGGGAACUGUGCGGCUAGAGUGCCGGAGGGGUAAGCGGAAUUCCUAGUGUAGCGGUGAAAUGCGUAGAUAUUAGGAGGAACACCAGUGGCGAAGGCGGCUUACUGGACGGUAACUGACGUUGAGGCUCGAAAGCGUGGGGAGCAAACAGGAUUAGAUACCCCUGUAGUC